Molecule: ribosomal RNA, 483 nt
Filed under: uncultured Pseudomonadota bacterium
Lineage: Bacteria; Pseudomonadati; Pseudomonadota
Description: bacterial SSU rRNA
Rfam family: Bacterial small subunit ribosomal RNA
Source: RNAcentral
ACUAGCAGUAAGAGUUUGAUCCUGGCUCAGAACGAACGCUGGCGGCAGGCUUAACACAUGCAAGUCGAGCGCUCUCUUCGGAGGGAGCGGCGGACGGGUGAGUAACGCGUGGGAACGUGCCCCUUGGUGCGGAACAACAGCUGGAAACGGCUGCUAAUACCGCAUGAUGUCUACGGACCAAAGAUUUAUCGCCAAGGGAUCGGCCCGCGUCGGAUUAGGUAGUUGGUGGGGUAACGGCCCACCAAGCCGACGAUCCGUAGCUGGUUUGAGAGGAUGAUCAGCCACACUGGGACUGAGACACGGCCCAGACUCCUACGGGAGGCAGCAGUGGGGAAUCUUGGACAAUGGGGGGCAACCCUGAUCCAGCCAUGCCGCGUGAGCGAUGAAGGCCCUAGGGUUGUAAAGCUCUUUCACCCGCGAAGAUAAUGACGGUAGCGGGAGAAGAAGCCCCGGCUAACUCCGUGCCAGCCGCCGCGGUAAUAC